This 88-nucleotide transfer RNA is filed under the name Desulfobulbaceae bacterium. Its description in RNAcentral is "tRNA-Ser". It matches the Rfam family "tRNA". Rfam says of the family: Transfer RNA (tRNA) molecules are approximately 80 nucleotides in length. The record is from RNAcentral. Lineage: Bacteria; Pseudomonadati; Thermodesulfobacteriota; Desulfobulbia; Desulfobulbales; Desulfobulbaceae.
GGAGAGGUGUCCGAGAGGCCGAAGGAGCACGCUUGGAAAGCGUGUGUAUGGCAACGUACCGAGGGUUCGAAUCCCUCCCUCUCCGCCA